CCUACGGGGGGCAGCAGUGGGGAAUAUUGGACAAUGGGGGCAACCCUGAUCCAGCCAUGCCGCGUGUGUGAAGAAGGCCCUCGGGUUGUAAAGCACUUUCAGUGAGGAAGAACGCCUGGUGGUUAAUACCCAUCAGGAAAGACAUCACUCACAGAAGAAGCACCGGCUAACUCCGUGCCAGCAGCCGCGGUAAUACGGAGGGUGCGAGCGUUAAUCGGAAUUACUGGGCGUAAAGCGCGCGUAGGUGGCUUGAUAAGCCGGUUGUGAAAGCCCCGGGCUCAACCUGGGAACGGCAUCCGGAACUGUCAAGCUAGAGUGCAGGAGAGGAAGGUAGAAUUCCCGGUGUAGCGGUGAAAUGCGUAGAGAUCGGGAGGAAUACCAGUGGCGAAGGCGGCCUUCUGGACUGAAACUGACACUGAGGUGCGAAAGCGUGGGUAGCAAACAGGAUUAGAUACCCUAGUAGUC
This 465-nucleotide ribosomal RNA is filed under the name Vreelandella stevensii. RNAcentral's name for it is "partial 16S ribosomal RNA". It matches the Rfam family "Bacterial small subunit ribosomal RNA", at positions 338 to 795 of the family's 1533-position model. Lineage: Bacteria; Pseudomonadati; Pseudomonadota; Gammaproteobacteria; Oceanospirillales; Halomonadaceae. The record is from RNAcentral.